GGCAGUGGUAGUUCAGUGGUUAAAAUGUUGAGCUACCAAUCAGAAAGACAUGAGUUCAAAGCCCAGUGCUGCCA
Ameiurus melas (black bullhead) is the source of this 74-nucleotide non-coding RNA. The record is from the annotation of a GenBank genome assembly. NCBI's taxonomy places the organism in Eukaryota, Metazoa, Chordata, Actinopteri, Siluriformes, Ictaluridae.